GACGAACGCUGGCGGCGUGCUUAACAUAUGCAAGUUGAACGGAAAGGCCCUGCUUUUGUGGGGUGCUCGAGUGGCGAACGGGUGAGUAACACGUGAGUAACCUGCCCUUGACUUUGGGAUAACUUCAGGAAACUGGGGCUAAUACCGGAUAGGAGCUCCUGCUGCAUGGUGGGGGUUGGAAAGUUUCGGCGGUUGGGGAUGGACUCGCGGCUUAUCAGCUUGUUGGUGGGGUAGUGGCUUACCAAGGCUUUGACGGGUAGCCGGCCUGAGAGGGUGACCGGCCACAUUGGGACUGAGAUACGGCCCAGACUCCUACGGGAGGCAGCAGUGGGGAAUAUUGCACAAUGGGCGGAAGCCUGAUGCAGCAACGCCGCGUGCGGGAUGACGGCCUUCGGGUUGUAAACCGCUUUCGCCUGUGACGAAGCGUGAGUGACGGUAAUGGGUAAAGAAGCACCGGCUAACUACGUG
RNAcentral lists this ribosomal RNA (468 nucleotides) under uncultured bacterium. RNAcentral describes it as "partial 16S ribosomal RNA". It matches the Rfam family "Bacterial small subunit ribosomal RNA", at positions 28 to 507 of the family's 1533-position model. The record is from RNAcentral.